RNAcentral lists this ribosomal RNA (164 nucleotides) under uncultured bacterium. Its description in RNAcentral is "partial 16S rRNA". It matches the Rfam family "Bacterial small subunit ribosomal RNA", at positions 355 to 511 of the family's 1533-position model. The record is from RNAcentral.
UAGGGAAUCUUCCACAAUGGGCGAAAGCCUGAUGGAGCAACGCUGCGUGUGUGAUGAAGGGUUUCGGCUCGUAAAACACUGUUGUAAGAGAAGAAUGACAUUGAGAGUAACUGUUCAAUGUGUGACGGUAUCUUACCAGAAAGGAACGGCUAAAUACGUGCCGG